CCUACGGGUGGCUGCAGUGGGGAAUAUUGGACAAUGGGCGAAAGCCUGAUCCAGCCAUGCCGCGUGUGUGAAGAAGGCCUUCGGGUUGUAAAGCACUUUCAGUGGGAAGAAAGCCUUGGGGCUAAUACCCUCGAGGAAGGACAUCACCCACAGAAGAAGCACCGGCUAACUCCGUGCCAGCAGCCGCGGUAAUACGGAGGGUGCGAGCGUUAAUCGGAAUUACUGGGCGUAAAGCGCGCGUAGGCGGUCUGAUAAGCCGGUUGUGAAAGCCCCGGGCUCAACCUGGGAACGGCAUCCGGAACUGUCAGGCUAGAGUGCAGGAGAGGAAGGUAGAAUUCCCGGUGUAGCGGUGAAAUGCGUAGAGAUCGGGAGGAAUACCAGUGGCGAAGGCGGCCUUCUGGACUGACACUGACGCUGAGGUGCGAAAGCGUGGGUAGCAAACAGGAUUAGAUACCCUAGUAGUC
RNAcentral lists this ribosomal RNA (464 nucleotides) under Vreelandella stevensii. RNAcentral's name for it is "partial 16S ribosomal RNA". It matches the Rfam family "Bacterial small subunit ribosomal RNA", at positions 338 to 795 of the family's 1533-position model. The record is from RNAcentral. Lineage: Bacteria; Pseudomonadati; Pseudomonadota; Gammaproteobacteria; Oceanospirillales; Halomonadaceae.